This is a non-coding RNA of Cinara cedri, 231 nucleotides long. The record is from the annotation of a GenBank genome assembly. NCBI's taxonomy places the organism in Eukaryota, Metazoa, Arthropoda, Insecta, Hemiptera, Aphididae.
AAAACUAAAGUAAUUUGAUAGUUUAGUGUUCUGAGUUGUUAAGAUUCCAAAAUGUUAUUAUCCUAAUAAACGUAUUGGCUUUUUUUAGUUACAAUUCUCUAAUUAACUCAUUUUUAGUUUUAUUUGCCAUACUAAUUAUUUUCUGGAUAUGUUUGUAUUCUAAAAACUAAUUUUCCAAUACUUUAUGGCCGUUCUUUAAUUUUGAGUUAAAUAAUAAACUAUUUUUCCCUU